UCCGGUUUGUCACCGGCGGUCUCCUGUGAGUUCCCACCUUUAGUGCUGGUAACACAGGACGAGGGUUGCGCUCGUUGGCGGACUUAACCGUACACCUCACGGCACGAGCUGACGACAGCCAUGCAACAAGUGUCUUCACGUCCCCUUGUGGGGGAGGGCCCUCUUUCAAGGGCUUGCGAUCGAUGUCAAGUCUGGGUAAGGUUCUUCGGUUAGUAUCGAAUUAAUCCACAUGCUCCACCGCUUGUGCGGGUCCCCGUCAAUUCAUUUGAGUUUCAACCUUGCGGCCGUACUCCCCAGGCGGGAUACUUAAUGCGUUAGCUGCGGCACAAGAGGGGUCGAUACCUCUUACGCCUAGUAUCCAUCGUUUAGGGCGUGGACUAC
RNAcentral lists this unclassified non-coding RNA (381 nucleotides) under uncultured Armatimonadota bacterium. Its description in RNAcentral is "uncultured Armatimonadetes bacterium contains 16S-23S intergenic spacer region". Lineage: Bacteria; Bacillati; Armatimonadota. The record is from RNAcentral.